Molecule: ribosomal RNA, 158 nt
Filed under: Teratosphaeria epicoccoides
Lineage: Eukaryota; Fungi; Ascomycota; Dothideomycetes; Mycosphaerellales; Teratosphaeriaceae
Description: 5.8S ribosomal RNA
Rfam family: 5.8S ribosomal RNA
About the family: 5.8S ribosomal RNA (5.8S rRNA) is a component of the large subunit of the eukaryotic ribosome.
Source: RNAcentral
AACUUUCAACAAUGGAUCUCUUGGUUCCGGCAUCGAUGAAGAACGCAGCAAAAUGCGAUAAGUAAUGUGAAUUGCAGAAUUCCGUGAAUCAUCGAAUCUUUGAACGCACAUUGCGCCCUCCGGUAUUCCGGAGGGCAUGCCUGUCCGAGCGUCAUCAA